AUAUUUUAGCUGAUGUUUUAUCUGAAAAUAUUUUAGUUGAUUCCGCGAGCUAUUCUAUUCUUCACUGGUGAUGCUUGUGAGGACGAUGAUGAAUUCGAGGAUGUUGAGAGCGGGGAUGAUGAUACAGCUGAU
Molecule: long non-coding RNA, 132 nt
Organism: Eurytemora carolleeae
Lineage: Eukaryota; Metazoa; Arthropoda; Copepoda; Calanoida; Temoridae
Exons: 2
Source: RefSeq, a predicted model, not a curated record